This 21-nucleotide microRNA is filed under the name Taeniopygia guttata (zebra finch). Its description in RNAcentral is "tgu-miR-219b". Its record names the gene tgu-miR-219b. Lineage: Eukaryota; Metazoa; Chordata; Aves; Passeriformes; Estrildidae. The record is from miRBase by way of RNAcentral.
CACAAGAAUUGCGUUUGGACA